AUUGAACGCUGGCGGCAGGCUUAACACAUGCAAGUCGAACGAGUGGCGGACGGGUGAGUAAUGCUUGGGAAUCUAGCUUAUGGAGGGGGAUAACUACGGGAAACUGUAGCUAAUACCGCGUACCAUAGGAUGAGCCCAAGUGGGAUUAGGUAGUUGGUGAGGUAAAGGCUCACCAAGCCGACGAUCUCUAGCUGGUCUGAGAGGAUGACCAGCCACACUGGGACUGAGACACGGCCCAGACUCCUACGGGAGGCAGCAGUGGGGAAUAUUGCGCAAUGGGGGCAACCUGACGCAGCCAUGCCGCGUGAAUGAAGAAGGUCUUAGGAUUGUAAAAUUCUUUCACCGGGGACGCGGUACCCGGAGAAGAAGCCCCGGCUAACUUCGUGCCAGCAGCCGCGGUAAUAC
This 405-nucleotide ribosomal RNA is filed under the name uncultured bacterium. RNAcentral's name for it is "partial 16S ribosomal RNA". It matches the Rfam family "Bacterial small subunit ribosomal RNA", at positions 30 to 526 of the family's 1533-position model. The record is from RNAcentral.